GUAGCACAUUUGGAACGUACAGGACACUAUCUGACGGUAAAGGAUAACCAAGUGGUGCAGCUGCAUCCGUCCACCUGCCUCGACCACAAGCCCGACUGGGUUAUAUACAAUGAGUUUGUACUCACAACAAAGAAUUAUAUACGCACAGUCACCGAUAUUAAACCGGAAUGGUUACUCAAAAUAGCACCACAGUACUACGAGUUGAACAACUUCCCACAAUGCGAGGCUCGUCGUCAACUCGAGCUGCUGCAGGCCAGGCUUGACUCCAAGGCCUACCAGGAGGGCUUUUAAACCUAAGUCCGGAAGACCUAUACAAGUGUUGAAGUGAACUAGUGCAGUGAUAAACUUGAGUGACCUUUUAAAUAUCAAAAUAGUGUCAGUGUAAAGACAAUUCACGUAUAAAAAAGGUAGGCAGAAAACAUAGAUUUUGGUGCAAUACUAGCACAAUUGAUAAAGAAUGAAUUAAAAACAAACACUUUAAUUUACAUAUCGGUUUUUACAUACACCUAUGUAAAUAAUAAAGGCAAACAAUAAUUAAAAACAGCUAUUUAGUAUUAAAAUCCUUACAAAGUUAUGUUAAUAUAGUUAAAGAUGCAACGCAAACGGUCAUAAAUUGAUUUUUAUUUAUUAAUUUCCAUUUAGAUUAUUUCCAAAA
Molecule: long non-coding RNA, 655 nt
Organism: Papilio xuthus (Asian swallowtail)
Lineage: Eukaryota; Metazoa; Arthropoda; Insecta; Lepidoptera; Papilionidae
Exons: 2
Source: RefSeq, a predicted model, not a curated record